This 253-nucleotide ribosomal RNA is filed under the name uncultured bacterium. RNAcentral describes it as "partial 16S ribosomal RNA". It matches the Rfam family "Bacterial small subunit ribosomal RNA", at positions 524 to 776 of the family's 1533-position model. The record is from RNAcentral.
UACGGAGGGUGCGAGCGUUGUCCGGAAUCACUGGGCGUAAAGGGCGCGUAGGUGGCCGAGCAAGGUUGCGGUGAAAGCCCGGGGCUCAACCCCGGGUCGGCCGUGGCAACUACUCGGCUUGAGCACUGUAGGGGCGGGUGGAAUUCCACGUGUAGCAGUGAAAUGCGUAGAGAUGUGGAGGAACACCGAUGGCGAAGGCAGCCUCCUGGGCUAGUACUGACGCUCAUGCACGAAAGCGUGGGGAGCAAACAGG